GUAGGGAAUCUUCCGCAAUGGGCGAAAGCCUGACGGAGCAACGCCGCGUGAGUGAUGAAGGUCUUCGGAUCGUAAAACUCUGUUAUUAGGGAAGAACAUAUGUGUAAGUAACUGUGCACAUCUUGACGGUACCUAAUCAGAAAGCCACGGCUAACUACGUGCCAGCAGCCGCGGUAAUACGUAGGUGGCAAGCGUUAUCCGGAAUUAUUGGGCGUAAAGCGCGCGUAGGCGGUUUUUUAAGUCUGAUGUGAAAGCCCACGGCUCAACCGUGGAGGGUCAUUGGAAACUGGAAAACUUGAGUGCAGAAGAGGAAAGUGGAAUUCCAUGUGUAGCGGUGAAAUGCGCAGAGAUAUGGAGGAACACCAGUGGCGAAGGCGACUUUCUGGUCUGUAACUGACGCUGAUGUGCGAAAGCGUGGGGAUCAAACAGGAUUAGAUACCCUGGUAGUCCACGCCGUAAACGAUGAGUGCUAAGUGUUAGGGGGUUUCCGCCCCUUAGUGCUGCAGCUAACGCAUUAAGCACU
RNAcentral lists this ribosomal RNA (523 nucleotides) under Escherichia coli. Its description in RNAcentral is "bacterial SSU rRNA". It matches the Rfam family "Bacterial small subunit ribosomal RNA", at positions 354 to 868 of the family's 1533-position model. The record is from RNAcentral. Lineage: Bacteria; Pseudomonadati; Pseudomonadota; Gammaproteobacteria; Enterobacterales; Enterobacteriaceae.